UAUUAUAAGAACUCAUAAAAA
Non-coding RNA from Caenorhabditis elegans, 21 nucleotides. NCBI's taxonomy places the organism in Eukaryota, Metazoa, Nematoda, Chromadorea, Rhabditida, Rhabditidae. The record is from Ensembl.